This 623-nucleotide ribosomal RNA is filed under the name Micrococcus luteus. Its description in RNAcentral is "bacterial LSU rRNA". It matches the Rfam family "Bacterial large subunit ribosomal RNA", at positions 1 to 571 of the family's 2925-position model. Lineage: Bacteria; Bacillati; Actinomycetota; Actinomycetes; Micrococcales; Micrococcaceae. The record is from RNAcentral.
AUUGUGUGUGAAAGUUUCUAAGGGCGCAUGGUGGAUGCCUUGGCAACAGGAGCCGAAGAAGGACGUGGGAAUCUGCGAUAAGCCUGGUGGAGUCGAUAACCGGACGUUGAGACCAGGAUUUCCGAAUGGGGAAACCCCGCACGACGUGUCGUGUGACCCCCGGUUGAACACAUAGACCGGGUGGAGGGAACGUGGGGAAGUGAAACAUCUCAGUACCCACAGGAAGAGAAAACAAAAGUGAUUCCGUUAGUAGUGGCGAGCGAACGCGGAUGGGGCUAAACCGUAUGUGUGUGAUACCCGGCAGGGGGUUGCAUGUGCGGUGUUGUGGGGCCCCCUCCUUGUCAUGUCUGCCGGCAUGGCGCAGUGAGGUGCGGGGCAUAUAGACGAACAGUGUGGAUGCUGGACCUAGAGGGUGAGAGUCCCGUAGUCGAAAUGUGUUCCGCCGCUGUUGGGGGGUUGCCGGAGUAGCACGGGGCCCGAGGAAUCCCGUGUGAAUCUGCCAGGACCACCUGGUAAGCCUGAAUACUACCUGUUGACCAUAGCGGAUCAGUACCGUGAGGGAAUGGUGAAAAAGUACCCCGGGAGGGGAGUGAAAUAGUACCUGAAACCAUGUGCCUACAAAA